RNAcentral lists this ribosomal RNA (292 nucleotides) under uncultured bacterium. Its description in RNAcentral is "partial 16S ribosomal RNA". It matches the Rfam family "Bacterial small subunit ribosomal RNA", at positions 505 to 796 of the family's 1533-position model. The record is from RNAcentral.
GUGUCAGCAGCCGCGGUAAGACGAACCGUGCAAACGUUAUUCGGAAUCACUGGGCUUAAAGGGCGCGUAGGCGGGCAACCAAGUCCGAGGUGAAAUCCUCCAGCUCAACUGGAGAAGUGCCCCGGAUACUGGCUGCCUCGAGGAGGGUAGGGGCAUCUGGAACUAGCGGUGGAGCGGUGAAAUGCGUUGAUAUCGCUAGGAACUCCGGUGGCGAAGGCGAGGUGCUGGACCCUUUCUGACGCUGAGGCGCGAAAGCCAGGGGAGCGAACGGGAUUAGAUACCCGUGUAGUCC